This 331-nucleotide long non-coding RNA is filed under the name Mytilus galloprovincialis (Mediterranean mussel). The record is from RNAcentral. Lineage: Eukaryota; Metazoa; Mollusca; Bivalvia; Mytilida; Mytilidae.
AUUUGCUCUAAAUGCUUUGGUUUUUGAGUUAUAAGCCAAAAACUGCAUUUUACCCCUAUGUUCUAUUUUUAGCCAUGGCGGCCAUCUUGGAUGGUUGGCCGGGUCACCGGACACAUUUUUAAAACUAGAUACCCCAAUGAUGAUUUUGGCCAAGUUUGGUGUAAUUUGGCCCAGUAGUUUCAGAGGAGAAGAUUUUUGUAAAAGUUAACGACGCCGGACGACGACGGACGACAGACGACGGACGACAGACGACGGACGACGGACGACGGACGCCAAGUGAUGGGAAAAGCUCACUUGGCCCUUUGGGCCAGGUGAGCUAAAAAUGUCGAAA